Molecule: long non-coding RNA, 2257 nt
Filed under: Linum usitatissimum (flax)
Lineage: Eukaryota; Viridiplantae; Streptophyta; Magnoliopsida; Malpighiales; Linaceae
Description: long non-coding RNA (LUSI_LNC003001)
Source: RNAcentral
UCCAGCUCGAGGAUUUCAAAGACUUGAUGGAAGAUUUAAGCAGCAGUGAUGGAAGCCAUUCGUCUUGGAGGCAACCUGAUUUAUAUGAAGCAUCUCCAGCAAGCUCUGAAUUCAGUUCCGGCUCCAGUCUCAUAUCAUACUCAGCACCUGAUGCAACAGAACAACCUCAAGGUGAAAUUGAUAUGCUGCAGAAUGAUAUCGAAACUGAUUUGCAAAUAGUGCCCAUCGAAGGACAAAACGGCAUAGGUGAAUGUGACAACAAGAUUGUGUCCGACGACAACAUAGCCGAAGGUAUUAGGAAAUUAGCAUUUGAACAGAAAUCAAUUUGUGAAAUUGCUGCAAAUUACUUUUCUUUGCUUGAGCUAAGCAAACCAAUGCUGAUGAUAUUGGUGUACAUUUCAGGGAACCUGUUUCCAUCCUUCAGUAGGGAACUUAAAGCAGUUGGCUUUGCUUUUCUAAGUUCUAUUAUUUUGUCAUUUAUAGUGAACAAAUCAACUUCCAUAUUAGGGGUCAGGCUACUACGACGAAGCUGAGGUUCAAGAAUUUCAUUAGCUAGUUCCAGAAGUCGAUUUCACGUUAGGGGUUGCUCUAUGUUAUAAUCCAAGGUUUCUGUUUGAUGAACUUCCUAACCCUUGAAGAUACAAGUCCCUAAGGGUUUCUUCAAUGUAACAAGUUACUUACAUAGGCAUCAUUAGAUCAGUAUGAAAGAAUGUAUAUCCUAAGGGUUAUAUAAUCAAUACCUUCACUUGCUUAUUAUAAUUUAUUGUAGUGAGACACCCAAUUUUGUCUCACUGUGAGACAAGAAACCUUUUCCAACGUCAAGUUCUGAAAUUUCUCUGAUCUUAUGUAUUCUUCAUGCAGUAAUUCUAGGCUAAUGACUCUGUAAUCCUCAUUUGUGUGUUGUCUUUGUUUUCCAGGAACGUAGAUUCCUACUAAAAACUCUUGGAGUGGAGUCACCUUUUCCUAAUCCAACUACGAACACCUCCCAACAACCACCCUGCAAGAGAGUCCUUCUCCAAAGUCUAUGAAAGAGCCUCACAAAGCUCUCAGAUAUUCUACCUAUUUCCUCUGCAGCUAAUCUUCGCCGAAGUUUUUAUUCGUAGGCAUGUGAAGAUUUAUGCAUCCCCGCAUCCCGUGUCUAGAAUGCCACGGUGUGUAUUCUAGCCACAAGCUCAGGACACAUCUACCAAUGUGAUCCUGAGUACAAUUUUUACUAUAAUUAGAGUGCUACCGCGGGGAGAAAGGUACUCCUCCGUGAUUGCUAAUGCGUGACAUUCUUUUCGUUUAGUCGCUUGCUUAGGAAUCCGGUAGAUGGACUGCCGGAUCCUGUUUUUGGCCAUUCGAUUCAUCAUCAUCUGUACAGAUCCUUACUACUACUAGAUAAUAAUAUCUGUAGUCAAGAGUGUAAUUAGAGAUUGGCAUCUCGCCUAUAUAAGAGUAGAGUAAGCAACAGGAGAAAAAAAGGAAAGUAAAGGAGGAUUAACCAGCUACUGAUUGGAUUCUCAUUUGUUGUUUUUUGAGUGUGCAUAGGGUAUAGAAUACAGUUUUCCCUUAGGGUUUCCUCCCUUUGCCUGAAUUCUUAUGUAAUAGAUAAAAACCUUUGUUGGGUUUUGGAAUGGAAAUAUCUUCCUGGUUUUGGUGUGAAAAUUUCUCUGCAAAGUUCGUUUCUUUACUGCAGUUAUACUCAAAACAUGCAAACAAGAUGAGACUUGCUGCAUUCUGCAGUGUUCUUAGUGUUCUUCACAACCCGAAUACAAAGUUCUGAUCUUUACUGCAGUUUACACUCAAAACAUGCAAACAGGAGUGAGACUUGCUGCAUUCUGCAGUGUUCUUAGUGUUAUUCACAACCCGAAUACGAAAAGGUAAGCGGGAGAUCAAAGUGAUCAACUUUACCUGAGUGUCUUUCCUCCUGUAGGCUCUUCUUGAUUGAUUGACUGAUUGGUUGACUGGCACUGAUGAAAGACAAGGAAUGAGCACUCUUUCUUCUUCUGCUGCAUUAUUCCUGAGCUGCUCGGUUUCUUUUUCCUUGCUUCUUCUGGGAAAGGUUUUGUGGGGAAGAACUGAAACAAGGGGGUCAGUGAGGAUUCUGUCAUUUAAGUAACGUAAGUAGUGGGUAGUGGUGGGUGAUGGUGGAGCACAAGUGUAAUCAUUUUUUGAACAAAGUUAAAGAGAAAAUGAAGAGGGAAACGUCAUAUGAAAUAAAGUGCACUCAUUGGCUUUCUACUUUGUCCACAGAUUGGUUGACUCUGGUUUGAAG